GAGAGAGAGAGAGAGAGAGAGAGAGCAAGAGGAAGAGGAGGGAGAGGAGAAGGAGGUGAUAGAGGGAGGAGGAGGAAGAAAGGAAAAGGAGAGAGAAAGAAAAAGAAAUGAAGAGGAGAAGGAAAGAGAAUGAAGAGAAGAUGAAUAAGAAGAAGAAAAAGAGGAAAGAGAGAGAAGAGAAAGAAGAAAAAGUUGGAGAGAGGGAAAAGGGGAGCUGUCACUAAUUCAUGGGGAAAGUAUGG
This 242-nucleotide unclassified non-coding RNA is filed under the name Hevea brasiliensis (rubber tree). Lineage: Eukaryota; Viridiplantae; Streptophyta; Magnoliopsida; Malpighiales; Euphorbiaceae. The record is from RNAcentral.